GGGUUGUGAGGUUAAGCGACUAAGCGUACACGGUGGAUGCCCUGGCAGUCAGAGGCGAUGAAGGACGUGCUAAUCUGCGAUAAGCGUCGGUAAGGUGAUAUGAACCGUUAUAACCGGCGAUUUCCGAAUGGGGAAACCCAGUGUGAUUCGUCACACUAUCAUUAACUGAAUCCAUAGGUUAAUGAGGCGAACCGGGGGAACUGAAACAUCUAAGUACCCCGAGGAAAAGAAAUCAACCGAGAUUCCCCCAGUAGCGGCGAGCGAACGGGGAGGAGCCCAGAGCCUGAAUCAGUGUGUGUGUUAGUGGAAGCGUCUGGAAAGGCGCGCGAUACAGGGUGACAGCCCCGUACACAAAAAUGCACAUGCUGUGAGCUCGAUGAGUAGGGCGGGACACGUGGUAUCCUGUCUGAAUAUGGGGGGACCAUCCUCCAAGGCUAAAUACUCCUGACUGACCGAUAGUGAACCAGUACCGUGAGGGAAAGGCGAAAAGAACCCCGGCGAGGGGAGUGAAAAAGAACCUGAAACCGUGUACGUACAAGCAGUGGGAGCACGCUUCGGCGUGUGACUGCGUACCUUUUGUAUAAUGGGUCAGCGACUUAUAUUCUGUAGCAAGGUUAACCGAAUAGGGGAGCCGAAGGGAAACCGAGUCUUAACUGGGCGUUAAGUUGCAGGGUAUAGACCCGAAACCCGGUGAUCUAGCCAUGGGCAGGUUGAAGGUUGGGUAACACUAACUGGAGGACCGAACCGACUAAUGUUGAAAAAUUAGCGGAUGACUUGUGGCUGGGGGUGAAAGGCCAAUCAAACCGGGAGAUAGCUGGUUCUCCCCGAAAGCUAUUUAGGUAGCGCCUCGUGAAUUCAUCUCCGGGGGUAGAGCACUGUUUCGGCAAGGGGGUCAUCCCGACUUACCAACCCGAUGCAAACUGCGAAUACCGGAGAAUGUUAUCACGGGAGACACACGGCGGGUGCUAACGUCCGUCGUGAAGAGGGAAACAACCCAGACCGCCAGCUAAGGUCCCAAAGUCAUGGUUAAGUGGGAAACGAUGUGGGAAGGCCCAGACAGCCAGGAUGUUGGCUUAGAAGCAGCCAUCAUUUAAAGAAAGCGUAAUAGCUCACUGGUCGAGUCGGCCUGCGCGGAAGAUGUAACGGGGCUAAACCAUGCACCGAAGCUGCGGCAGCGACGCUUAUGCGUUGUUGGGUAGGGGAGCGUUCUGUAAGCCUGUGAAGGUGUACUGUGAGGUAUGCUGGAGGUAUCAGAAGUGCGAAUGCUGACAUAAGUAACGAUAAAGCGGGUGAAAAGCCCGCUCGCCGGAAGACCAAGGGUUCCUGUCCAACGUUAAUCGGGGCAGGGUGAGUCGACCCCUAAGGCGAGGCCGAAAGGCGUAGUCGAUGGGAAACAGGUUAAUAUUCCUGUACUUGGUGUUACUGCGAAGGGGGGACGGAGAAGGCUAUGUUGGCCGGGCGACGGUUGUCCCGGUUUAAGCGUGUAGGCUGGUUUUCCAGGCAAAUCCGGAAAAUCAAGGCUGAGGCGUGAUGACGAGGCACUACGGUGCUGAAGCAACAAAUGCCCUGCUUCCAGGAAAAGCCUCUAAGCAUCAGGUAACAUCAAAUCGUACCCCAAACCGACACAGGUGGUCAGGUAGAGAAUACCAAGGCGCUUGAGAGAACUCGGGUGAAGGAACUAGGCAAAAUGGUGCCGUAACUUCGGGAGAAGGCACGCUGAUAUGUAGGUGAAGCGACUUGCUCGUGGAGCUGAAAUCAGUCGAAGAUACCAGCUGGCUGCAACUGUUUAUUAAAAACACAGCACUGUGCAAACACGAAAGUGGACGUAUACGGUGUGACGCCUGCCCGGUGCCGGAAGGUUAAUUGAUGGGGUUAGCGCAAGCGAAGCUCUUGAUCGAAGCCCCGGUAAACGGCGGCCGUAACUAUAACGGUCCUAAGGUAGCGAAAUUCCUUGUCGGGUAAGUUCCGACCUGCACGAAUGGCGUAAUGAUGGCCAGGCUGUCUCCACCCGAGACUCAGUGAAAUUGAACUCGCUGUGAAGAUGCAGUGUACCCGCGGCAAGACGGAAAGACCCCGUGAACCUUUACUAUAGCUUGACACUGAACAUUGAGCCUUGAUGUGUAGGAUAGGUGGGAGGCUUUGAAGUGUGGACGCCAGUCUGCAUGGAGCCGACCUUGAAAUACCACCCUUUAAUGUUUGAUGUUCUAACGUUGGCCCCUGAUCGGGGUUGCGGACAGUGUCUGGUGGGUAGUUUGACUGGGGCGGUCUCCUCCUAAAGAGUAACGGAGGAGCACGAAGGUUGGCUAAUCCUGGUCGGACAUCAGGAGGUUAGUGCAAUGGCAUAAGCCAGCUUGACUGCGAGCGUGACGGCGCGAGCAGGUGCGAAAGCAGGUCAUAGUGAUCCGGUGGUUCUGAAUGGAAGGGCCAUCGCUCAACGGAUAAAAGGUACUCCGGGGAUAACAGGCUGAUACCGCCCAAGAGUUCAUAUCGACGGCGGUGUUUGGCACCUCGAUGUCGGCUCAUCACAUCCUGGGGCUGAAGUAGGUCCCAAGGGUAUGGCUGUUCGCCAUUUAAAGUGGUACGCGAGCUGGGUUUAGAACGUCGUGAGACAGUUCGGUCCCUAUCUGCCGUGGGCGCUGGAGAACUGAGGGGGGCUGCUCCUAGUACGAGAGGACCGGAGUGGACGCAUCACUGGUGUUCGGGUUGUCAUGCCAAUGGCACUGCCCGGUAGCUAAAUGCGGAAGAGAUAAGUGCUGAAAGCAUCUAAGCACGAAACUUGCCCCGAGAUGAGUUCUCCCUGACUCCCUGAGAGUCCUGAAGGAACGUUGAAGACGACGACGUUGAUAGGCCGGGUGUGUAAGCGCAGCGAUGCGUUGAGCUAACCGGUACUAAUGAACCGUGAGGCUUAACCUUACAACGCCGAAG
Molecule: ribosomal RNA, 2925 nt
Filed under: Escherichia coli
Lineage: Bacteria; Pseudomonadati; Pseudomonadota; Gammaproteobacteria; Enterobacterales; Enterobacteriaceae
Description: 23S ribosomal RNA
Rfam family: Bacterial large subunit ribosomal RNA
Source: RNAcentral